This 69-nucleotide transfer RNA is filed under the name Pagrus auriga. Its description in RNAcentral is "tRNA-Glu". It matches the Rfam family "tRNA". Rfam says of the family: Transfer RNA (tRNA) molecules are approximately 80 nucleotides in length. Lineage: Eukaryota; Metazoa; Chordata; Actinopteri; Spariformes; Sparidae. The record is from RNAcentral.
GUUCCUGUAGUUGAGUGACAACGGUGGUUUUUCAAGCCAUGUGGCCGGGUUAAAGUCCCGGGAGGAAUU